CCUCACCAGAAACCAACCCUGCCAGCACCUUGAUCUUGGACUUCUAGCCUUCAGAACUACAGAGUGUCACUGUAUUGCCCAGGCUGGAAUGGAGUGGUGUAAUCUUGGCUCACUGCAACCUCCGCCUUCUGGGGGUUCAAGCGAUUCUCAUGCCUCAGCCUCCCGAGCAGGCGCACAACACCACGCCCGGCUAAUUUUUGUAUUUUUAGUAGAGAUGGGGUUUUGCUAUGUUGGCCAGGCUGGUCUGACACUCCUAGCCUCAAGUCUGGUCUGCCUGUCCUGGCCUCUCAAAGUACUAGGAUUACAGGCAUGAGCCACCGCACCCAGUCCUGAUUUUAUCUCUUGAUCAUCUGGAUUAAACUGUACCAGAAGACACUCCUGGGACUUUUGGAUUGCGCAAACAAAUAAAU
Molecule: long non-coding RNA, 410 nt
Filed under: Homo sapiens (human)
Lineage: Eukaryota; Metazoa; Chordata; Mammalia; Primates; Hominidae
Description: HSALNT0316192
Source: RNAcentral